RNAcentral lists this ribosomal RNA (234 nucleotides) under uncultured bacterium. RNAcentral describes it as "partial 16S ribosomal RNA". It matches the Rfam family "Bacterial small subunit ribosomal RNA", at positions 118 to 347 of the family's 1533-position model. The record is from RNAcentral.
UGAGGAACAUGACCUUCGGCGGGGGAUAGCCGGCCCAACGGCCGGGUAAUACCGCGUACGACCACUUUGGGACAUCCCUAGGUGGUGAAAGCAGCAAUGCGCCGAUGGAGUGCCUCGCGGCCUAUCAGCUAGUUGGUGGGGUAAUGGCUCACCAAGGCGACGACGGGUAGCUGGUCUGAGAGGAUGGCCAGCCACAUUGGGACUGAGACACGGCCCAGACUCCUACGGGNGCAG